ACCGCGGGAAGCAGGACAUGAAGCGAUACAGAGGAAGCAGGAAGAAAAAGAGACCGACACAUGGUGGACUUUUCCGACGCAUGGUGGACUUUUCCCGGAGUACCGAUGUGGUGAUGCUUGACUGACAAAGACUGGGGGAAACGGUGUUUUAUGUCCUGCCGCGAUGUGUAUAUGUGAACUAGCUCAGCUAGCUCAAAGAUUUCUAUGUGCUGCCUUUCUGAUAUGUUUGCUGCCAUCAUGUCAGUGAAACAGGAUCACAGCUGAAGAAGAGGCUACAAGAGGUUUCCCGACUCAUUUCACGCACACACAUCAACCACAGCAUUAAAACCACCUGCUUAACUUUGUGUAGAUCCACCUGGUGCCAUCAAAACAGCUCUGGAGUGUCGGUGCGUGAACAUGGGACCUCUGUGGGCAUCCUGUGGUGUCUGAUGAUGAGAUAACAGGCUUGUUCUGGUGCAUUCUGUGGAUGCUCAAUCAGAUCUAAGUCGAAGGAGUUUGAAGGGAAGGCUCAUGUCUUUGUCAUGUUCUUCAAUCUAUUCAUCUUUAGGAAGAUGGUACAAGCAAGAGUACAGCUGCAUGCCUGUCCAGCACAUUCAUCCUCCCCACCUCAAUGUUCUUGCCUUGAGUACAAUCUCCAGAGCUGAAUUUGGAUUGGACCAGGCCAAACUACCGCCUCCAAUCACGGUGUCAGGUGGAGUUCAAAAGGCUUACUCAUGCAGCGGUUGGCGGCAGUUUUUAUUCGGAGAGAUUGAGCGGCCUGGUGUAUUUUGUGAACAUUUGUGUUUGUGGUUGGGGUGCGUGUGGGGGUAAUAGCAAGCCAGGGAUCUCUGACUUGAGAAGAAACACUACUAGAGAAUUCUUUGUUAGUUUUCAGAUAGGGAUGUUGCAGCUGUGUUUUUGGUUUAGAGUUUUCUUUGUUUUGGUUGUCUUUUGUUUCUUUCAGUGUUUGUAAUAUCAGCUUCUGAGCAAAGUUUGCUUUCUGUUUUGUUUAUCUUGUUUUGCUUCCAUAGCACUCAUUUGCUUUGAACCCCCUCACUUUCUGUUGUUAUGCCCAUACCCCCUUUCACAACAACAAAAAAAAAACACUUAGAGAGCGCAGUACUCCGCCAAGGCAGCUCAGCUGUCUCAUUUCCUACAGCUGAAAUCUGGAAUAAAAAAUCAUGGUUUCCCAGAGACUAUGGGUUGAGGAGGAAUUGGAAGUUUGUCGGCUUAGACCUGGUGUCAUUCCAUCAGUGUUAAACUUCCCAGCUCAUCUUGGAAGAGUACGUGCCAGAAAGACCACGACCAAGCAGCCUUGAGAUCUUAGGCAGCGUCUCCCUGAGGUCCCUCUCUAUCUCCCCACACAUCCACCAACCACUGGAACACAUCUCCAAAGUUCUGCUGGGCCAGCUCAGCUUCCCCUCAGAAGAAGUGCUGCCACCUGCCAGAUGAAGGAGCCUUUUGAGAGGCAGCUGGCAUCGUGAUUGGACUGUACUUUGGUCUGUUCCAAUCCAGCUUCAGCUCCAGAGACGGCAGGCGGGACGAGUCAACGGAGGCCGGGUGGACGAAGGCAUGCAGCUGAGUACAAUCCAGAAAACAACAGAGGAGGAGUGCAGC
Molecule: long non-coding RNA, 1596 nt
Organism: Amphiprion ocellaris (clown anemonefish)
Lineage: Eukaryota; Metazoa; Chordata; Actinopteri; Pomacentridae
Source: Ensembl